AGUACGGCGGAACACGAGAAAUUCCGUCGGAAUCCGCGGGGACCAUCCCGCAAGGCUAAAUACUCCCUAGUGACCGAUAGUGAACCAGUACCGUGAGGGAAAGGUGAAAAGCACCCCGGAAGGGGAGUGAAAUAGAUCCUGAAACCGUGUGCCUACAACAAGUCAAAGCUCGUUAAUGAGUGAUGGCGUGCCUUUUGUAGAAUGAACCGGCGAGUUACGAUUGCAUGCGAGGUUAAGUCGAAGAGACGGAGCCGCAGCGAAAGCGAGUCUGAAUAGGGCGAAUGAGUAUGUAGUCGUAGACCCGAAACCAUGUGAUCUACCCAUGUCCAGGUUGAAGGUGCGGUAAAACGCACUGGAGGACCGAACCCACGUACGUUGAAAAGUGCGGGGAUGAGGUGUGGGUAGCGGAGAAAUUCCAAACGAACUUGGAGAUAGCUGGUUCUCUCCGAAAUAGCUUUAGGGCUAGCCUCGGAAUUGAGAAUGAUGGAGGUAGAGCACUGUUUGGACUAGGGGCCCAUCUCGGGUUACCGAAUUCAGAUAAACUCCGAAUGCCAUUCAUUUAUAUCCGGGAGUCAGACUGCGAGUGAUAAGAUCCGUAGUCGAAAGGGAAACAGCCCAGACCACCAGCUAAGGUCCCAAAAUAUAUGUUAAGUGGAAAAGGAUGUGGGGUUGCACAGACAACUAGGAUGUUGGCUUAGAAGCAGCCACCAUUUAAAGAGUGCGUAAUAGCUCACUAGUCGAGUGACCCUGCGCCGAAAAUGUACCGGGGCUAAACAUAUUACCGAAGCUGUGGACUACACCAUUAGGUGUAGUGGUAGGAGAGCGUUCUAAGGGCGUUGAAGGUCGAUCGUGAGGACGGCUGGAGCGCUUAGAAGUGAGAAUGCCGGUAUGAGUAGCGAAAGACAGGUGAGAAUCCUGUCCACCGUAUGACUAAGGUUUCCUGGGGAAGGCUCGUCCGCCCAGGGUUAGUCGGGACCUAAGCCGAGGCCGAUAGGCGUAGGCGAUGGACAACAGGUUGAUAUUCCUGUACCAGUUGUUUUUGUUUGAGCAAUGGAGGGACGCAGUAGGCUAAGGAAUGCAU
RNAcentral lists this ribosomal RNA (1081 nucleotides) under Enterococcus faecalis. Its description in RNAcentral is "partial 23S ribosomal RNA". It matches the Rfam family "Bacterial large subunit ribosomal RNA", at positions 411 to 1494 of the family's 2925-position model. Lineage: Bacteria; Bacillati; Bacillota; Bacilli; Lactobacillales; Enterococcaceae. The record is from RNAcentral.